This 568-nucleotide ribosomal RNA is filed under the name uncultured bacterium. Its description in RNAcentral is "bacterial SSU rRNA". It matches the Rfam family "Bacterial small subunit ribosomal RNA", at positions 338 to 917 of the family's 1533-position model. The record is from RNAcentral.
CCUACGGGAGGCAGCAGUGGGGAAUAUUGCACAAUGGGCGCAAGCCUGAUGCAGCGACGCCGCGUGAGGGAUGACGGCCUUCGGGUUGUAAACCUCUUUCAGUAGGGAAGAAGCGUAAGUGACGGUACCUGCAGAAGAAGCGCCGGCUAACUACGUGCCAGCAGCCGCGGUAAUACGUAGGGCGCAAGCGUUAUCCGGAAUUAUUGGGCGUAAAGAGCUCGUAGGCGGUUUGUCGCGUCUGCCGUGAAAGUCCGGGGCUCAACUCCGGAUCUGCGGUGGGUACGGGCAGACUAGAGUGAUGUAGGGGAGACUGGAAUUCCUGGUGUAGCGGUGAAAUGCGCAGAUAUCAGGAGGGACACCGAUGGCGAAGGCAGGUCUCUGGGCAUUAACUGACGCUGAGGAGCGAAAGCAUGGGGAGCGAACAGGAUUAGAUACCCUGGUAGUCCAUGCCGUAAACGUUGGGCACUAGGUGUGGGGGACAUUCCACGUUUUCCGCGCCGUAGCUAACGCAUUAAGUGCCCCGCCUGGGGAGUACGGCCGCAAGGCUAAAACUUAAGAGUAGUACGGA